CGGAAAUUAUCAGUUAUGGGACACACACAAAAAACCAAACAGGCCAGAUGUUCCUUCCGACGUGAUUUCAACUGUCAGUGCUUUCACAGGCGUUUUCCGGGCUAAUAACACGGGGAGAGCGUCUGCGGGGCGCGGGCCUGGCGGACACAUGCAGCCCGUCCUGCUCCCCGGCCGCGCGGCUCCCACCUCGUCAGCACCCGCUUCUCCGGUACGUGUCACAGGCAGGUUCCUCCCCGCGCGCAGGCCCCAGGGAACGAGCUCCCCCGGCAACAGCACUGAUCCGAUCGCUCCGUGAAAUGGGCGAAGGGAAGGCCCUGAGCACCCAGUCUGUGUUGACGUCCAGCCCCUGGGGGGCUUGGCCUGCGCAGUGUGGCCAAGAGGGGACCAGUCUGCACAGUGGCAGGCGGAACAGGCCUCCCAGGGCAUUUGGCUGCCCACCUGGUCCCAAAGUCAUCCUUCAGCCUCCCACUUACCCCUUCUAAAGGGUAAUGUGGUGUGGUUUCUGCCCACCCCAGCUGCCUGCCUUGGGAAGCGGCAGAGGCUGUCGCCAGCUGUUGGCCCGUUCCUGUUACUGCAGAAGAGCCUGAUCUUGCAAUGAAUAAAAAAUAACAACCCUGAAGUAUCACUUACCUGUUUGUCUUUCUGUUGGCUUCGAUCUCCUGAUGGCCAGAGUCUCCAGGAAUCAUUAUCAAUAACAU
Long non-coding RNA from Myotis lucifugus (little brown bat), 698 nucleotides. RefSeq lists it as uncharacterized. The record is from RefSeq and is a predicted model, not a curated record. NCBI's taxonomy places the organism in Eukaryota, Metazoa, Chordata, Mammalia, Chiroptera, Vespertilionidae. The transcript is spliced from 3 exons.